Molecule: long non-coding RNA, 619 nt
Organism: Podarcis raffonei (Aeolian wall lizard)
Lineage: Eukaryota; Metazoa; Chordata; Lepidosauria; Squamata; Lacertidae
Exons: 3
Source: RefSeq, a predicted model, not a curated record
ACAGGACCCUCCUUUUCGGUGUCACUCAUAUGGUCCAAAGGAAAGCAAAGCAAUGCAUUUGGCACUGGCUUGGCUGCAGGAGUUGCCAGAAGGAGGCAUACAAGGCGCCAUCCAACCAUCUUAGGGACUCCACUCUGGAUUUGUGUAGGAUUUACUCCUUGGCCCUUUCUUCUCUUGAAGAUAUCCCGUAAGGCAGCAGAAUUUUCCUUCUCCUUCUAGAUAGGCUACCUUCCCAAGUUGACAAGCCCCAGGUGCCCAUCACUUCCUUCGACUAUUUGGGUCUGAGGUAUUACAAAUAUCUGAAAAUGCAAAUGGAUUUCCAACUUUGCAGACGGAGGAUGCAGCUUUCUGCUCAGACAUGUGAAAUCAAUUCCCAAGAACAAGCUGAUUUUUGGAAGAAGAAGAAAUUUCUGCAAAUGUGAUGCAAAAGUUGGCUGUGCACGAUGCCGGAAUGUCACUCUGCCCAUGUCAUCAAGAAACCUCCUACACACAAGAAACUGCUUCCUGGAGCAGAUUUGCUCUUUAAAAUAGUGUUUCCUUCAAAUAAAUGAAUAGGGAAUGAAUAAACAAAUAAAUUCAUCAGCAUUUGUCUGCUACUUUUAACAAAUAAAUAUUUAGA